GGAUGGAUGGCCGAGUGGUUAAGGCGCUGUGUUCAGGUUGCAUGGGCAUCGUGCAUCGCAGUGGGAAACCGCGUGGGUUCGAAUCCCACUCCAUUCA
Terfezia claveryi is the source of this 97-nucleotide non-coding RNA. NCBI's taxonomy places the organism in Eukaryota, Fungi, Ascomycota, Pezizomycetes, Pezizales, Pezizaceae. The record is from the annotation of a GenBank genome assembly.